GGGAAUAUAGCUCAGUUGGUAGUUUGUGCCUUACAUGCACAAAGCCCUGGGUUCAAUCCCCAGCACCACCC
This 71-nucleotide transfer RNA is filed under the name Ictidomys tridecemlineatus (thirteen-lined ground squirrel). RNAcentral describes it as "Spermophilus tridecemlineatus (thirteen-lined ground squirrel) tRNA". It matches the Rfam family "tRNA". Rfam says of the family: Transfer RNA (tRNA) molecules are approximately 80 nucleotides in length. Their secondary structure includes four short double-helical elements and three loops (D, anti-codon, and T loops). Lineage: Eukaryota; Metazoa; Chordata; Mammalia; Rodentia; Sciuridae. The record is from Rfam by way of RNAcentral.